This 254-nucleotide ribosomal RNA is filed under the name uncultured bacterium. RNAcentral describes it as "partial 16S ribosomal RNA". It matches the Rfam family "Bacterial small subunit ribosomal RNA", at positions 99 to 354 of the family's 1533-position model. The record is from RNAcentral.
CGGACGGGUGAGUAACGCGUGGAAAACCUGCCGUAUACUGGGGGAUAACACUUAGAAAUAGGUGCUAAUACCGCAUAAGCGCACAGCUUCGCAUGAAGCGGUGUGAAAAACUCUGGUGGUAUACGAUGGUUCCGCGUCUGAUUAGCUAGUUGGUGGGUAAUGGCCUACCAAGGCAACGAUCAGUAGCCGGCCUGAGAGGGUGAACGGCCACAUUGGGACUGAGACACGGCCCAAACUCCUACGGGAGGCAGCAG